GAUGAACGCUGGCGGCGUGCCUAAUACAUGCAAGUCGAGCGAACAGAUGAGGAGCUUGCUCCUCUGACGUUAGCGGAGGGCGGGUGAGUAACACGUGUAAAACCUACCUAUAAGACUGGGAUCACUUCGGGAAACCGGAGCAUAUAGCGUAUAAUAUCUUGAACCGUGGUGUUGAUUAGAAAAAUACGGUUUUGCUGUCUGUUAUCGAUGGAUCCCCGCCGCAUGAGCUAGUUGGUAAGGUAACGGCCUAUCAAGGCUACGAUGCGUAGCCGAACUGAGAGAGUGAUCGGCCACCUGAGAGCGGGGACACCGUCCAGGCGACUACGGGAGGCACCAGAAGGGAAUCGUACGCAAUGGGCGGAAGUCUUGCGGAACAACGCCGCGUGAGUGAUGAAGAUGUUCGGAUCGUAAAACUCUGUUAUUAGGGAAGAACCAAUUUGUAAGUAAAUAUGCCCGUCGUGACGGUACCUGAUCAGAAAGCCACGGCUAACUACGUG
This 497-nucleotide ribosomal RNA is filed under the name uncultured bacterium. Its description in RNAcentral is "partial 16S ribosomal RNA". It matches the Rfam family "Bacterial small subunit ribosomal RNA", at positions 28 to 507 of the family's 1533-position model. The record is from RNAcentral.